CGUCUAUAUACGUAUAGCAUAUCAAUAAGCGGAGGAAAAGAAACUAACAAGGAUUCCCUUAGUAACGGCGAGUGAAGCGGGAAGAGCUCAAAUUUGAAAUCUUCAAGGUUCUACCUUGACGAAUUGUAGUUUAAAGAAGUGUUUUCUGUUAGAGGAGUAGCAAAGGUUCCUUGGAAUGGGACAUCAUAGAGGGUGAGAAUCCCGUAUUUGGUUAUUCUUUCUAGCUUUGUGAUACACUUUCAAAGAGUCGGAUUGUUUGGGAAUGCAGUCCAAAAUGGGUGGUAAAUUUCAUCUAAAGCUAAAUAUUGGCGAGAGACCGAUAGCGAACAAGUACCGUGAGGGAAAGAUGAAAAGAACUUUGAAAAGAGAGUUAAACAGUACGUGAAAUUGUCAAAAGGGAAGCGUUUGACACCAGUGUUGUUUUUCCGAAAAUCAAUUAAGAAUGGACUUGAUUUUGUGUUGUAUUGACCUUAUCAGCUUUCUUCACUCUUUUUCGAGUCUUUCUUAAUGCACUUUUCGGUUAACAAGUCAACAUCAAUUUCUUUUGUUGUAAAAGGGUAAUUUGGAAGGUGGCUUUCUUUUCGGAGAAAGUGUUUAUAGCCUUAUACCUCUACAAUCGGAGAGAUUGAGGUCUGCAGCGUAGAUCCUUCGGGGCUAGAUACACUUGUGCUAAGUUAUAGCUUUUCAUAGACAACUUGUUGACUAUGUUUAGUCAUGUAGCUUACCCGCUUGUGCUAUUUUACCUACGCUUAGGAUGUUGAGUCAUCACACAUCUCU
This 777-nucleotide ribosomal RNA is filed under the name uncultured Neocallimastigales. RNAcentral describes it as "partial large subunit ribosomal RNA". It matches the Rfam family "Eukaryotic large subunit ribosomal RNA", at positions 26 to 618 of the family's 3401-position model. The record is from RNAcentral. Lineage: Eukaryota; Fungi; Neocallimastigomycota; Neocallimastigomycetes; Neocallimastigales.